GACGAACGCUGGCGGCAUGCCUAAUACAUGCAAGUCGAGCGAACAUUUAUAGCAGCUUGCUUCUAUAAAUGUUAGCGGCGUAUGGGUGAGUAACACGUGGGCAACCUGCCCUGCAGAUGGGUAUAACUCCGGGAAACCGUGGCUCAUACCGGAUAAUCAGUUUGUCCGCAUGGACUCACUCUACAAGACGUCUUCGGCUGUCACUUCAGGAUGGGCCCGCGGCGCAUUAGCUAGUUGGUGGGAUAACGGCCUACCAAGGCAACGAUGCGUAGCCGACCUGAGAGGGUGAUCGGCCACACUGGGACUGAGACACGGCCCAGACUCCUACGGGAGGCAGCAGUAGGGAAUCUUCCACAAUGGACGGAAGUCUGAUGGAGCAAUGCCGCGUGAGCGAAGAAGGUUUUCGGAUCGUAAAGCUCUGUUGUGAGGGAAGAACAAGUACGGGAGUAACUGCCCGUACCUUGACGGUACCUCAUUAGAAAGCCACGGCUAACUACGUG
This 500-nucleotide ribosomal RNA is filed under the name uncultured bacterium. RNAcentral's name for it is "partial 16S ribosomal RNA". It matches the Rfam family "Bacterial small subunit ribosomal RNA", at positions 28 to 507 of the family's 1533-position model. The record is from RNAcentral.